CCUACGGGGGGCUGCAGUGGGGAAUAUUGCACAAUGGGGGAAACCCUGAUGCAGCAACGCAGCGUGAGCGAUGAAGGCCUUCGGGUCGUAAAGCUCUGUGCUAAGGGAAGAAUAAUGACGGUACCUGAGGAGGAAGCCCCGGCUAACUACGUGCCAGCAGCCGCGGUAAAUCGUAGGGGGCUAGCGUUAUCCGGAAUUACUGGGCGUAAAGGGUGCGUGGGCGGGCCUUCAAGUCAGGGGUGAAAGGCUACGGCUCGACCGUAGUAAGCAUUUGUAACUGUACGGUUUGAGUGCAGGAGAGGGGAGUGGAAUUCUCAGUGUAGCGGUGAAAUGUUUAGAUAUUGAGAUGAACACCAGUGGCAAAGGCGGCUCUCUGGACUGUAGCUGACGCUGAGGCGCGAAAGCGUUGUGAGCGAACAGGAUUAGAUACCGCUGUAGUC
RNAcentral lists this ribosomal RNA (440 nucleotides) under uncultured bacterium. RNAcentral describes it as "bacterial SSU rRNA". It matches the Rfam family "Bacterial small subunit ribosomal RNA", at positions 338 to 795 of the family's 1533-position model. The record is from RNAcentral.